GCGCUAACAUUAAAGCAGUUCUUCCUCUUUUUAGGUAAACAUAAAAAUAUCUAAUUAGCGCUUUGAACUUAUUUUGUCUUUAGUUCUCAUGUGUCAGUUUGUGAACGGACACCUUUGUAUCACCACCCUUUGCUUUGCUAUCUUGGACCGUCGUAUCUGUCAGUUGUUCCAUGCACCUGGCCAGUCCCUCAGGUUAGCACUUUUUUGCAGCACUUUGUUAGUCCAGCGGUUGCAUUUACAGUGCUAUCUAAAUAACAUUAAGUUGACUUGAGGUGAGUAAAUGUCCUACCUUCUCUCCAUCAAGACCAGGGGGACCUGGGAGGCCAACUUCACCCUAAUGAUUCAAAAAAGAUGUCAAACAGCAAAAGUCACCAAAAAAAAAAAAAAGAAAGAAAGACUGAUGACUAAAUGUGCUAUAAGCUAGACAAACCAGAAAUAGAAGAGAUAAAAACAUUUACACUCACAUUAAAACUGAUACAUAAUUUCUGAACGGAAAUAUUACAUUUGUAACUAGACAACCACACAAAAAUGUCUAAUUCCUGAAAUCACAAAAUCUCACAGUCCAAAUGAAUAAUUUUCACAUGUAGGAAUGAGCCAAUAAUACCCAAUAACAAUAAUAAUGAUGGUAAUAAUACUGUAAUUUUAAUUCCUUUAUGCUUCCAAUAUUACUUAAAUAAUUUUUUUUUACUUUAGUCCCAGUGUUCCCAGGAGGCCCAGGAGGUCCAGGUAAUCCAGGCGGGCCCUAGGGGUUGGACAGGAGAGGUCAUUUAUACAAUCAUAAACGGGACUGCUUAUGCAUAUAUUCAUUGAUGAUUAACCAGAGGUGGGUAGCGUAGCCAAAAACUGUACUGCAGUAAGAGCAGCGUUACUUCAAAAGAAAAUUACUCCGAAUACUUUUUAAGUAAUGAGAAAUAUUGUAACUGCUUUCCAUGUCUGAUUUUUUUUUUUUUAAAGCAAUGGCAUAUUUUUUAUUCUCAGCAAAACGUCAUCUAGCCUAUAUGAACUGUUACAAUUGAACAGUACUAUAGCCUAUUACAUGACAAUAUAAGGCAAAAAACCCCAAAACAUAAAAAUCAUCAAAUUUUGAAUAGAAAAAUCUACAGAAAUAGCCUAAAGCGCAUGAGUGUCCUCUAGUUGCGAAAACUUAUUUCCUACCAUGGAAUUAAAACGAUCAUAUCUCCGGUUUUCCGUGGUGUAUCGGUGGCAAAUAAAACUGGGAGAGAGGUUGAAAUCCAAGCUUUCGAGUGAAAUACAGUACUUUAUUUUGUACGUUGCUUUAAAGAUGCCAUGUCAUUGAACAGGCCGGCAUGAACAUAGGACUUCCGACUGCUAGCUUGUGUCUGGUCACAUGACUGUAUUGUUACGUGUGAUGGUGUAUAGGAGCCAUGUAAUUAUUGUUGUGACAGCUCAUUGGUGAAACUGGAAGAGCCACUGCAAGCAUCUCUGGCAAAAGACUGUAGUGUUGCGCAAAAUAGUGGAGUAAGACAAGCAUUUCUUGUCUACAAAUCUACUCAAGUAAAAGUAAAAAUUAUGGCGAGGUAAAAUUUUUCGAAGAAGUCAAUUUUUCUCCAAAGUUACUCAAGUAAAUGUAGCGGAGUUAAUGUAACGUGCUACUACCCACCUCUGUGAUUAACACUAAAGUCUUACCAUCAGAUGUAUGUUGCGAAUAUCCUGUGAGGGAGAUUUCAGAGUUACAAAUCAUUUAAAAUAUUACUUUAAUGUACUGUACUAAUAAAAUGCAAUAAUUGUAACAUACAUUUUCAUUAUUGUGGAUUUCAGCUUUUCCUGGUUCACCAGUUGGACCUGGAGGUCCCUAUAACAUGAUAGACAUUUUAUUUCAUUAUUGACUUAUUGAGCUAGUGAACUUUAAAGGGGUAAUUGCAAUAUGCUGGAACUCAUGACUUACUCUUGGUCCGGCAGGGCCUUCGGGGCCUGUCUCCCCCUAUGUAGUGAUUAGAAUUAUGAAAAUUAAUUCAUUUGAUACUUUGUCUUCUCUUGAAAGUUUGAGCACUCUAACAAAGCGUUCAUGAUCUCACCUGGUUUCCCUGGUCACCCUUGUCACCCUGCAAUAGAUGUUUAAUGCAUUUUCAUCAAUAGUUAUUUAGUAAGCAAUAUAUAUCAUCAGUCAUACAGUCGAGAAGCUUUAGUUAAACUAAACAUACAUAUUGCAUAUUGAUACAUACAUUGAUUGUACAUAUUGCGCAUUACCUUAGGUCCCAUUUGGCCUGGGAUUCCUGGUGAACCAGGCUCUCCUUUCAGUCCAAGUGCUGAAAUAAUAGCAUCUCCCUUUUCUCCCUAUUAAAAAUAAAAUUUUGGAUUAGAGUCACUUUCUAGAAUAAGACCAUUUUUAUGAAAAUGGCUGACCUCCUCCUAGUCUUUGUAAAAUCUGCCAAUGUAACAUGCAUAGUAAAUGAUUUACUGAAAACAAUUUUAGUUAAAAAAAAAAAAAAAGAUUGAUACCAUCGCACUAUGAAUGACAAAAAAAAUUUCAAAAAAGCCAUUUUUUGUAUACAAGAGUUUGUUUGCACGUUUCUCUAAAAAUGUUCUGCUUUAUAUAUUAACGCUGAGUCCUAUAGUCACGUCGGCGUUAACAAUCAUAUUGCGUUUUUUAAAGUGCCGCAAAAAACAAUUUCACAUAGAGCGCUGGUAUCAAAAUAACCCGAAAGUGCCCACUUUAAACUCUCUCCCAGAUUUUUAUUUGGCACGGAUAGACCACGGAAAACUGGAAAUAUUGUUUUAUUUUCUAUCAUGUUAAAAAAUGUUUAUUCAUGCAUUUGUGCGCACCCAAACACUCGAAGGCACUUGUACUCUUAGGUACGGGACGGCAGACCUCAAAAUGUGGAGAUUUUAAAUCGUCAAAGGUGCUAUGAAACGAUGACCAUGUCAAAAAUUGAAUAUGACUUCACUAAUGUAAUUUAAUAUGUCAAAACUGAAUUUGUCUGCUAUCAUUUUACAGUCACUUGCUGUGGUAUUUCAUAGCACCUUCAAAGAAAAACCCAAACAUGCACUUAGCGCCCCCCCUAAAAUAAAUGAAUAGAUGAAAAACAACCAAAGAAACACUUUUGUCAUGCCAAGCCUACCCUGUAGCCCCUCUUGCCAGGGAUGCCAGGUGUGCCCAUCUGGCCCUUUGCAGUAAAAGACAAAUAGCUAUGACCUAAUCAGUUUCGAAUAAGUGUAUUUUUUUUCCUAUUGAAACCAGCUCAAAAUAGACAGUACCUUUAGCCCAGGGGUGCCAGGUAAACCUGGUUCUCCCUUUAAAGCAGAGACGCCAUAAAGACCGAGCGUUUCAAAGACAGAAAAACAAAGAUAAUUUUGUUGAAAUUGCAGGAAUGUCUUACUAUACUAUAACACAAUUUGAUGAAGCCAGAUUGAAACUAAAGAACAGUUUAAUCAUUGCUAAUAAGAACACUUCAUGCAAAUCUGUUGGAUGUUAGGAACACACAUGGAAUUUACCCUAUUUAGAAAAAAAAACAAAAAACAACAACAACAAACAAAAGCGAAAGAAAAACACCAAACAAGCCACUAUUAGGAUGUGCACUGACAUCCACCGUCAUUUAUUUAGAGGGCAGACAAACUAGAGGUUAACCCCUCAAUCCCUGGCUUUGGUCCCCUAAAUGCAGCAAGGGACUGACAGAUAUGAAACAACUUAAGUGGAUUCAUCUCCCAAAAGAUCGCAAACUCCAGCCACAAGUCCGCAUAAUAAUAAUAAUCUUGUACUGUGAUGUACUGUAAUUCGCUAAUGUCGUUAGAUCGACAGUUCUUAAGAAGACCCCAUCGAAAAAGUGUAUUGGCAAAUUCAAAAUUUGGCCAGAGGACAGACACUGAAUGAUAAGGGCGGACCUGGUUGAGGCGGCCGUAAGAAAUUUGUAGCCACUACAGAAUCAAACAGAAAAGGUUCACUCAUUCCAUCAAAGAAGUGGCCGAGACCCAACGUGAAGUCAGGGGUGAGCGAUACAAUCUGGGCAGCACCGACAGCUAACUGCAUCAAAUGCACAUAUUGUUUUCAAGUUCACAGUUUAAUGGCCAUUGGCGCUUUAAAUAGAAACUCAUUUUGUGUUGACUUAACAGUGGAUAUAUGCACCAAAGGCUCUGGUGCAUGUACCUUUGUACAUCGUCUGAAUAUGUCAGAUAAUACGUCGUAGACGUAUAUUUAGACGUAAAAGUACAUCUAAAUAUACUGUACAUGUCAGCUAGGCAUGCGUUAGAAGAGCAUGGAGGCACUCUCUAUACACACUUGUGCACUAUCCUACAUGUACAGCACAUGCUUGACUGUUGCUUUACCUUGCUACCUUUCUCUGGUGCAAAACCCCUCUUCCCUUCAUCUCCCUGAAGAUGGGAUGAAACAUUAAAGUCAUAGUACCAGAACACUCCUCAGAAUGACUCACUUUAUUUUGUAUUCAAUUUGUAGUCGGUCUGCUAAAAGGACUACAGACACUUGACCGAGACUGGAAAUUUUGUUCAUAUUAUCGCUUUACUCUUCUGAUUGGCUAGUAAUAUGUCCAUGUCAACCAUGUUGCUCAGGGAGUUCUGUAGGGAGUGUUUAUGAAAUAUGGCAUACCGGACCCUGUGAUAUGAUCGGUCGGUUCUCUGAACAAACAGUUUGACGGUUUUGUCUGCAUUGCAAGCAGUAAAUCGGUUUCCAUUGAGGGGUACGGUUUGGUGACCUAAAUAUUGUAUCGUUGAUAAUGUUCUGUUGGCUUCAUUGAGCCACAAUUUCUAACUCUGACUUUAGUGGUUCACAACCAUUGAUGAAUUAGCAAACUAUAUUAAUACGGGGUAGGAAAAAGUACCCCAAGUCUCCUGGUUGGACUGGGAAUGCCUUAGCAUGCCACUAGAAGAGCUGCAUGAUGUGGCUAGGGAAUAGCUGCUUAAGCUGACUUGGCCUCAGAUAAGCGGAAUAAAAUGGAUGGAUGGAUGUUCACUAGAGUUGGGUAGUAACGCGUAACUUGAGUAACUUUUUGAAAAAAAUGUACUUCUAAGAGUAGUUUUACUAAGCUAUAGUUUUUACUUUUACUUGAGUAAAUUUGUGGAGAAAAAACACUACUCUUACAUUUUUCCUCUUAAUUGAACAUAUUAGAUUUUUUUUUUUUUUUUUGCCAGCGAUGCCAAGAGUAGUGCUACAAAUUUCACCAAUGAGACGUCGCAACAAUAAUUAAAUGACUCCAUUGUACCAAUUGGAUGCAAGCUUGCUGUUCUGUGUUCACGCCAGCCUGUUCAAUCAUGUGGUGUCUUUAAAGCACGGUAAAAAAUGAAGUAUUAGACAUAGAGCGUUGCCCCUAACAUGACUUGAAGGCGCGGAUUUUAACCUCUCUCCCAGUUUUUACUUGGCACUGAGUGACCAUGGAAAACCGGAGAUAUGUUCCUUUUAAUUUCAUAAUAGUAAUUUUGGAGGAACUAUUCACUAUUUAAACUGCAUACCAUGUUCUCCACUCAGGGCACUCAUGUUCUUUGGACGAAUAAUGUUUCAUUUAUAAUGCUUCAUUUACAAAGUAUGUUAUUUUUUUUUCUCAUCGGAAUUCAAUGUUUUUGUUGUUGUUGUUUUCCUUUGGCUUAAUGUGGUUAUUUAAUGGGUUAUUGUACAGUUCAUUAUCACAACAGUUCAUAUAGAUAACGGUGCUCAGAAAAAACUUACCAUUGUUUAAAAAAAAAAAAAAAAAAAAAAAUUGUAAGCAGUUACUCACAAUGUUACUCAUUAAAGUAUCCUUUUCACCAAAUGCUUUUUUUUAUUUGUACUUGAGUAGAUUUUUUGCAGGACUACUUUUACUUUUACUUGAGUAAUAUUGUUUUGAAGUAAACCUACUACUAGUAAAAUUUUUGGAUACUCUACUCACCCCUGAUGUGCACACAAAAUAUGAUUGUAAGAUUUUGUUACUUACUCAUAAAAUAUGUCAGGUUUAAUGCUUUUUUCUUGAUGACUUGCUGACACAACAUGCAGUCUUUUAAUGACUCUGAGAGCUAAAUGUCAUAACCUAACCCAUUUUCAUUCAACUGGGCAAAAAUAAGGUCUGUGUACCUUGGGGCCCUCAGGACCGAUUGGACCAACAUCCCCCUGAUCACCCUGAAGAAAUAAACAGAUAAACAAUUCAGUUUUCAUCUAACACUAAUGUGCUGUGUAUGCACCGAGUAAUAUUCAAUGAAAACUUAAAAAGGCACUCACCUUCUGUCCUGGUAUACCUGGCUCACCCUGAAAGCAAAUUUCAACUUGAACAAAUACAGAAGUAACAGCUGCACUAUACAGACUGGCAAUUUGUGCUUUGAAAGUACUGCUAAUACCAUUUCACUCAACACUAAAGGUCAAUCAACACUAACAGAGCUUAUAGGUCGAGUUUGUUGUUUGUUUGUUUGUUUUUUUUUACCUUCAGUCCUGGUAAGAGCUGCAGAAUAAAGAUAAAAUGUAUUACUAUUAUUAUCAUAUAAACAAACUGCCACUUCAGAGCGAAGAACUAGUCGGAAAUAGGCGACCAAAUCAAAGCGACCAAAUCAGAGCUCACCCUUGGGUCUUUUCCGGGUUUCCCUGGUUCCCCUGGUUUACCCUGAAGGCAGAAAAUUAUUUUUCAUAACAGUAUACUGGUUGUACACUAUUAUGCAUGCGUGUAUAGGUUAAGUAUUUUCUAGUUUUUAGGUGAGGUUCAUACUAUCUACUCACCGGUGAGCCACUGGCUCCGUUCAGACCUGGGCUCCCUGGAAGACCAGGUGGGCCUGGUGGCCCUGGGGGCCCCUGCACGCCUUGCUCACCCUGCUGAAAGACAUUGAGUUACAACCUGCCAUAGUGGAAAGUGUUUCGUCAGAUUGACCACAACAGCACAACGACCUCACACUAAAACACAAAUCCUGCAGCAGGGGAUUGCGCAUUCGGAGGUUAGCUGAGGUGCAAAGCAAGCGGUUAAAUAGAAAGACUGAAGGUCUCUUCUCAGACCUGGAGAAUCAUCUGUGUAAAUAGUUUAAAUUUAUGAGUCACUUACUGUAUAAGCUUUGGGAAGAAGAACACAGUUUGGUCACUCUGCCUUAAACUGACAGUCAACAGUAUAUUUUAAGCAGUGACGAUUGCUCUAUACUGCAAGGGAAGCUCAAUUUCCCCUAAAAUGUCAUUGACUAAAUAUGUGCUGCAAUGCGCUCAACUUUUGUUGAGUAUUAGGUUAUCACUGGUUACGAUGCAGCCUGUGUGCUACUUAAUGUUUGGUGACUUGACUUCUGGCACUCUAAUUCCUUUCCCAACCAAGGAGCGGGUGCCUCUCCGCCAUCACAAAGCACCCACAGGACACACUUUGAGCUCAUUGAACCACCAGCAUCCACCACUGGUUUUGAGGCCAUUUUAGAUCAAUUCUAUUUGAACAAAUUUUCAAGUCCAGUAUGGUUGUUUACUCUUCAAUGCACAGUGGAUCAGAAUCAUCUCUAAUGUUCUUUGGCUAUGACAAUAUUUAUUGUCAGAUCAUAGAGACCCAUAGAAAGUUAAAGUCCUAAAUGAGAUCUCCAUUGUGUCUCAAUUAUACCUCUAUACAUAAAUGAGCACCGUUUGAGACUGAAGCGCAAUUUCUCAUUCGUCUCAAUUUGAACUCCUGAAAUAUUGACACUGUUCAGUCUCACAGUGAUCUAUAUUUGAGUUCUCAAAAUGGACUCAGUGGCGACUCCAUAAUAUAGUCUCAGCUCUGUCUUUCAAUUAGCACAGUUUUAGUUCUUAAAAUGAUCUGACUGUUAUCUCAUUUAUAGAGUAUGGGCUAUGUCUUUCCGUGAUCACUAUUUGAGUUCUAAAGGCCAUCUAAUUGGCAGGUUUUUUAUAUUUCUCAGCUGACAGAAAACGAGACAAUUACUACCUAUCAAAAGCGACAAAUCUAUGAAUAUUGUCAUUCUUCCAGGUUAUUUAACUCUUAAGGCAUUUAAUCGAUUGCAGCAGAACUUUAAAAAUGGUCUUUACAUACAUUUCACCUCUCAUCCGAGCUCCGUCACUUCAUGCAACAAGGCGUAGUCAGGACUGCACUAGCCUGAGACUUUUUCUGUCACAUUAUCUCUUAUCCUAUAAUGGUCUUAAUGGUAUUGUUGAUUCUCCAGUUACAGUGGGGCAAAUAGUGUGCACAAACCAAUUGUGCAAGUUGUACUUGAAAAUAUUAGAGAGGCCUGUAAUUGUCAACAUGGAUAAACCUCAACCAAGAGAGACAGAAUUUGGAAAAAAAAAAAAAAAAAAAAGAAAAUCACAUUGUUUGAUUUUUCAAGAAUUUAUUUCCAAAUUAGAGUGGAAAAUAAGUGUUUGGUCACCUAAAAACAAGCAAGAUUUCUGGUUCAAAGAGGUCUAACUUCUUCUAACGAGGUCUAAUGAGGCUCCACUCGUUACCUGUAUUAAUGGCAUCUGUUUUAACUCAUUAUCGGUAUAAAAGAUACCUGUCCACAAUGUCAGUCAGUCACACUCCAAACUCCACUAUGGCCAAGGCCAAAGAGCUGUCGAAGGACACUAGAGACAAAAUUGUAGACCUGCACCAGGCUGGGAAGACUGAAUCUGCAAAAGUUUAAACGCUUGGUGUAAAGAAAUCAACUGUGGGAGCAAUUAUUAGAAAAUGGAAGACAACAAGACCACUGAUAAUCUCCCUCAAUCUGGGGCUCCAUGCAAGAUCUCACCCGUGACUUCAAAAUGAUAACAAGAAUGGUGAGCAAAAAUCCCAGAACCACACAUUGGGACCUAGUGAAUGACCUACAGAAAUCUGGGACCACAGUAACAAAGGCUACUAUCAGUAACACAAUGCGCUGCCAAGGACUCAAAUCCUGCAGUGCCAGACGUGUCCCCCUGCUGAAGAAAGUACACGUCCAGGCCUGUCUGCAGUUCGCUAGAGAGCAUUUGGAUGAUCCAGAAGAGGACGGGGAGAAUGUGUUAUGGUCAGAUGAAACCAAAAUAGAACUUGUUGGUAGAAACACAGGUUCUCGUGUUUAGAGGAGAAAGAAUACUGAAUUGCAUCCGAAGAACACCGUACCCACUGUGAAGCAUGGGGGUGGAAACAUCAUGCUUUGGGGGUGUUUUUCUGCAAAGCGACCAGGAUGACUGAUCUGUGUAAAGGAAAGAAUGAAUGGGGCCAUGUAUCCAGAGAUUUUGAGUGAAAAUCUCAUUCCAUCAGCAAGGGCAUUGAAGAUGAGACGUGGCUGGGUCUUUUAUCAUGACAAUGAUCCCAAACACACAGCCAGGGCAACAAAGGCGUGGCUUCAUAAGAAGCAUUUCAAGGUCCUGGAGUGGCCUAACAAGUCUCCAGACUUCAAUCCAAUAGAAAAUCUUUGGAUGGAGUUGAAAGUCCGUGUUGCCCAACGACUGCCCCAAAACAUCACUGCUCUAGAGGAGAUCUGCAUGGAGGAAUGGGCCAAAAUACCAGAAACAGUGUGUGAAAAGCUUGUGAAGAGUUACAGAAAACGUUUGGCUUCCGUUAUUGCCAACAAAGGGUGCAUAACAAAGUAUUGAGAUUAACUUUUGGUAUUGACCAAAUACUUAUUUUCCACCAUGAUUUGCAAAUAAAUUCUUUAAAAAUCAAACAAUGUGAUUUUCUGUUUUUUUUUUUUUUUUCCCACAUUCUGUCUCUCACGGUUGAGGUUUACCCAUGUUGACAAUUACAGGCCUCUCUAAUAUUUUCAAGUGGGAGAACUUACACAAUUAGUGGUUGACUAAAUACUUAUUUGCCCCACUGUAAAUAACAUUAUUUUAGAAACGCAGUUAAAAACAAUAUGUCCAAUUCUCUGCCAGCGAAGUAAUCGAUAAGGUAAGUACAUUACAUUAAGAUAAACAUAUGUUUUAGCAUUAGCAAUUCCAGUUCACACAUGGCUAAAAUGUGAUCUCCAUGAUUAAUGUUGAUCUCAACAAUUAAAAUUGAGACAGUAGAAGCAGUAAAGUUGUGGAUCUCAGCUGGUUCAAACAGUGUCAGGACAUUUAUUUUGACUUUUGCUACUGCCAAUUAACUUGCACAAGUACCGCAUAAGCAAAAGUACCAGUUUAACGCAAACUCAAUCAUCAAUGUUGCCUAGAGUGCUAAGAAUGACUCACCAACCAUUUUAACAAGAAGUUUUCAUAAAAGGACUUGCUAUCUAGCGCCUUUACUACUGAAAGGAUAUGAUAACAAAGUAAGCUGUGAGAGAUGCACUAAAUGCAAAUUGCAGAUGUGGAAAUGAUUAGAAAAAAACAUCACAGCGCAGGGAAUGCCACAAUAACAUUCUGGAACAUUUGGUAUUCAGGGCCCUUGACGGUGACAUUCAUUUUGACCCUGGCAGGAAAUAUGAGAAGCUGACACCGUUUUCUAAAAGUGACGAAAAUAAUUGAAAAUGAAAACACCUGCACAUGCAACUCAGAGAAACCAUAAAUAAGCAGAAAAGACAUAAGUUAAGUGGUUGUACAGUAUCAUUCGCAAAGUGCUUAUGAAGCUACUGGAAUUGAAAGAAUAGAGCACUCUAUUUAAUUAAAAUUUAGUAGCAAAGACUUGAUAAGUGUUGGGUCAAUUGAAUUGCUUUCCUUUCAAAUAUUCUUAAUACUUGUUUGUUUAUUUAUUUAUUUAUUUAUUAUUAUUAUUAUUUUUUGUUGUUUUCUUGCUCAACUGAACAAUUUCAGGGAUUAAUUGAAACAAUCAGUCCUUGUUGUCUGGACUUCAAUUAUGAUGGUUGGUGAAAAUGAUCUUUUGUAUACCUUAGUCGAUUAAAUUCUAACAUCAAUCAACCAGCCAUUAACACCCCCCCCCCCCCACCACCAAACUGUUUUCCCGCCUGCAAACAAAAUAUUAUUGUGAUUUACCGUAUUUUUCGGACUAUACGUCGCACCUGAGUAUAAGUCGCGCCAGCAAAAAAUGUCCAAUAAAGAGGAAAAACCAUAUACUGGUCCUUCUAAAAAAUUGGCAUAUUGUGAUAAAGUUCAUUAUUUUCUGUAAUGUACUGAUAAACAUUAGACUUUCAUAUAUUUUAAUUCAUUACACACAACUGAAGUAGUUCAAGCCUUUUAUUGUUUUAAUAUUGAUGAUUUUGGCAAAAAAGUCAAGAAAAACCAAAAAUCUCUAUCUAAAAAAAUUAGCAUAGUAUGAAAAGGUACUCUAAAGAAGCUACUAACCUAAUCAUUAGAAUCAACGAAUUAACUCAAAACCCCUGCGAAAGAUUCCUGAUGCUUUUAAAAACUCCCAGCCUGGUUCAUUACUCAAAACCGCAAUAGUGGGCAAGACUGCCGACCUGACUGCUGUCCAGAAGGCCAUCAUUGACACCCUCAAGUAAGAGGCUAAGACACAGAAAGAAAUUUCUGAGCGAAUAGGUUGUUCCCAGAGUGCUGUAUCAAGGCACCUCAGUGGGAAGUGUGGAAGGAAAAAGUGUGGCAGGAAACACUGCACAACCAGAAGAGGUGACUGCACCCUGAGAAAGAUUGUGGAGAAGGUCCGAUUCCAGACCUUGGGGGACCUGCAGAAACAGUGGACUGAGUCUGGAGUAGAAACAUCCAGAGCCACCGUGCACAGGCGUGUGCUGCAAAUGGGCUACAGGUGCCGCUUUCCCCAAGUCAAGCCACUUUUGAACCUGAAACAGCGGCAGAAGCGCCUGACCUGGGCUACAGAGAAGCAGCACUGGACUGUUGCUCAGUGGUCCAAAGUACUUUUUUCAAUUGAAAGCAAAUUUUGCAUGUCAUUCGGAAAUCAAGGUGCCAGAGUUUGGAGUUUUUAGUACAGUUAUCAGUACAUUACAGAAAAUAAUGAACUUUAUCACAAUAUGCUAAUUUUUUUAGACGGACUGGUAUAAGUCGCACCGGAGUAUAAGUUGCAUUUUUGGGGGAAAUUUGAUAAAAUGCAAGAUCAAGAGCAAACAUGUCAUCUUGAAAGGCAAUUCAACUUAAAAAUAGAAUAGAACAACAGGCUGAAUAAGUGUACGGUAUGCUAACAUUACAUGAUGCAUAAACAACUGAAAAAGUGCCGAUAUCGUACCCUUAUCGUAACAUAGCUAUUAAGAUGUAAGCGAUAUAUUGCAUUAAGAACAUAUGAAAUUAUGUCUCAAUAAUUUGAUUUCACACAUAUUGUAAGUUGCGCCAGAGGAUACGUCGCACCCCUGGCCAAACUAUUAAAAAAAAAAAAACUGACUCAUACUCCUAAAAAUACAGUAAUAACAUUUGAAAAUGACUGGAAAUUAGUGAGCCAACUGUCUCUCAGCUGUGCUAGCCUCCAGUUCAUUUACAACCUUCAGAAGGAAAACUUUACAGAAAAUGAAUGAAUUGAAUAACAUUGUAUUUUAAUUCAUAUAAAUACGAUGAAUAGAAAAGACCUUUAGCCUGCAAAAUGCAUCAACAUUCAUUAGCAAUAGCAACUGCAGCAUUUGGUUAAUUACAGCAAGAUGUUUCGAAGGUUUAGGCGACGGUUGUAUAGACAGAACAGAAGGAAGGGACAAGUAGGGGGAAGAGAGAAUUGUACCUUGAGGCGUUUUAAGAUUAGAGGGCUUAUUGAGGGCAUGUUGCGCACGGUGAUGGGCAACAUCUGCCGAGGGGAAGUCACAAUGCACAGGUGGCCAACGGUGCAAAAAAAAGGUCACAGGGCAAAGGUCACCAGGAGGCCACGGAAAGGAAAGAGGGUAGAACAACAGGUCGAAGAGAGGGAGGAGGGCAGGUUCAAAGGGAGACAGAGAAACAUAAUAUAACAUUACAGUGAAACACAAGGAAUAAAGGGAGGCAAAAGAAACAAGGUCAAAGAAAGAAAGUCACAGCAAACUCUGGGCCUGGAAUGGCUAUAUUGAUUGGUAUACAGUGUCCUCUAUGUUUAAGAACAAAUGCAAGUUUCAAAUAAUAUUCUAUACUGGUUGCUUACAAAUCAUGAAACAUGCCUUUUGAGGACUAGUUUUUGGAAGCCACCUUGUAAUCGUAACCAGGCCCCUAGAUUGCAGUUCAGUAGUGAUCAGGUGUGUGCCAGUCUCGCCGCAAAGAGAGCACGGCUGUACGAUUACAGUGUAGAAUAUCCAGACUUACUGUGGCCAACAAUCCAGCACAGGGCUGUACAAUACGUCGCUUCUGUUGAGAUGAUCAGCAUCAUCAAAUACAAGUUUAGGAAAUGACAGUACUGAUAUCACUGAAUAUAAAUACUUGUAGUUUCUAUGGAAACAUAUGCUACAGUACAUGGAGACUGGAAGGGUAAAAGUAGGGAAGUGUUGUUAUCCCUCUGCAUUUGUUGCUUUCCAUUCAGACUUUUAUUAUGUACAAUGAAAUUAAAUCAAGUCAAGGUGGACUGUAGUGUAGAUUUUUAAAAUUAAACCGCUAACACUUUAUAGUAAUUAUCCGUUAAAACUAGUUAAUACGUCAUUACUAAACUGUUAAUAAAUGAUUUACUGUUGACUUGUUAAGUGUUUGUUAACAGUUUGCUGUGAUGUAUGGACAUUCAAUGCCCCACAUAAAUUAUGUUUGUCUUGUGUUUAGUACAAAAAGUGUCCCAAACUCAUGGGUUCGUACUAUACUGUUGUUUUUUGUUUUUCUGGCAUGUGACAGCUUAGUAUGUGUGUUUCUAUGCAUUAAAAUUUUUUUCAAAAUUCCAUUGGUGGUGUUACUUUGGUAAAGUAUAGCACACAGAAAGGCUAAUGAAGUUUAGUAGAUUAGUUUAGUGGUUAGCAAACUAUUGACAACUGAUCUGUAAAGUGUGAGUUCAUAUAUAUUAGUUAUAAGCUUACGCAUAUUAUUGGGAUGUUAUUCAACAUGAUUCUAAGGUUGCACUUAUUCCUCAUUUAUUAACAAUUAAGAAAUGAGAAGUAGUUGCAACUUUAGAAUAACGUCCCGAUAACAUAAACAAACUAUCAACUGAUACUUAAAAAGUCAUUAAUUAUUAAGUUACUAACAGCUUGUUAAUGAUAUAUUAAUAAUUUAUAAGGAGUAAGUAUAAAUCAUUUACAUAAAGCUUACAAGUAAUUUAUUACUCUUUAACCAUCAGUUUGUGAUAUAUUAUCUAUAAGACAUCAUUAUAAAUGCUUGACAAACUAUUAACACUUCACAAGUCAACAAAUCAUUUAUUAACAGUUUACCAAUAAUCUAUUAACUAAUUAUAACAGAUAGCUAUUAUAAAGUGUUACUAAUGAAGGUAAUCAACCUAUAUGAAAGUCCAUGAAAUUGACUGUCUUUAGUGCAGAGCGGUAAAUGUCUGAGGAGUGCCUGGCUUUUUGGGGAUUGCCUCUCUUUGCGGCACGACUUGGUGACUUCCCCCCAAAACGGGCUAUCCAUCGGGGUGUUUGAGGCCACCCACAAACCUUCAGCAUCAGUGGAUGACUGGAACGCAAGGCAGCCAAGGUUUUCAAGGGAAGAUCCUGCACAAAUAGGUUCUGCCAGAGAAGUGGGUGCUUCAGUACAUGUUGGACUUCAGACGGGCGUAGCGGCCACAGGUGCUGGCAAUGCCAAUCAACCAUCUUUAAAAACCAGAGGAUGCCGCCACCUCGUCAUCCGAUCAACUUGUCUGGUUCCACUAUCAGUUGUUUCUCGCAUUCAUCCGAUAAUUCUCUCUGAUCACCAGCUUAUUUUUUGCUCUUGCCCUAGGACCUGUUUUAUGCAUGUCCUUUGUCGGAUUCCACACCUGCCUCCUUCCGAGCUUCCUUGUCUCACGCCAGUUCAGCUACCCCGAACAGAGCGAUCUACGCCAGUCUUGUUCUCACAUGUGGUCGCUAAUAAACAUUACUCGUUGCAACCUUAGUUUGUCUGCUCUGGGAUCGCCUCGU
Corythoichthys intestinalis (scribbled pipefish) is the source of this 14661-nucleotide long non-coding RNA. RefSeq lists it as uncharacterized. The record is from RefSeq and is a predicted model, not a curated record. NCBI's taxonomy places the organism in Eukaryota, Metazoa, Chordata, Actinopteri, Syngnathiformes, Syngnathidae. The transcript is spliced from 3 exons.